GAUGAACGCUGGCGGCAUGCCUAAGACAUGCAAGUCGAACGAGAUGGCCCACAGAUUCAGAAGGAAGAUAGAGUGCUUGCACGAAGUUAGAAUUUUGAUGACGUGGAAAUUCCAUCUAGUGGCAAACGGGUGAAUAACACGUGGGUAACCUACCUCUAAGUUGGGGAUAACAGUUGGAAACGACUGAUAAUACCGAAUAAGCUCUACGGAGUAAAGAAGCUAUUAAGCUUCGCUAAGAGAUGGGCCUGCGGCGUAUUAGCUAGUUGGUGGGGUAAGAGCCUACCAAGGCGACGAUGCGUAGCCGAACUGAGAGGUUGAUCGGCCACACUGGGACUGAGACACGGCCCAGACUCCUACGGGAGACAGCAGUUAGGAAUAUUCGUCAAUGGGGGAAACCCUGAACGAGCAAUGCCGCGUGAAUGAAGAAGGCCCUAUGGGUUGUAAAAUUCUGUUGUAUGGAAAGAAAUGUAAAGUUAGGAAAUGAACUUUACUUGACGGUAC
Molecule: ribosomal RNA, 501 nt
Filed under: uncultured bacterium
Lineage: Bacteria
Description: bacterial SSU rRNA
Rfam family: Bacterial small subunit ribosomal RNA
Source: RNAcentral